RNAcentral lists this ribosomal RNA (468 nucleotides) under uncultured bacterium. RNAcentral describes it as "partial 16S ribosomal RNA". It matches the Rfam family "Bacterial small subunit ribosomal RNA", at positions 28 to 507 of the family's 1533-position model. The record is from RNAcentral.
GACGAACGCUGGCGGCGUGCUUAACACAUGCAAGUCGAACGGAAAGGCCCUGCUUUUGUGGGGUGCUCGAGUGGCGAACGGGUGAGUAACACGUGAGUAACCUGCCCUUGACUUUGGGAUAACUUCAGGAAACUGGGGCUAAUACCGGAUAGGAGCUCCUGCUGCAUGGUGGGGGUUGGAAAGUUUCGGCGGUUGGGGAUGGACUCGCGGCUUAUCAGCUUGUUGGUGGGGUAGUGGCUUACCAAGGCUUUGACGGGUAGCCGGCCUGAGAGGGUGACCGGCCACAUUGGGACUGAGAUACGGCCCAGACUCCUACGGGAGGCAGCAGUGGGGAAUAUUGCACGAUGGACGGAAGCCUGAUGCAGCAGCGCCGCGUGCGGGAUGACGGCCUUCGGGUUGUAAACCGCUUUCGCCUGUGACGAAGCGUGAGUGACGGUAAUGGGUAAAGAAGCACCGGCUAACUACGUG